GAAACUGCGAAUGGCUCAUUAAAUCAGUUAUCGUUUAUUUGAUAGUACCCUACUACAUGGAUACCUGUGGUAAUUGGGGGGGGGGUACAUGCGCAAAACCCCGACUUCGGAAGGGGUGUAUUUAUUAGAUAAAAAACCAAUGCCCUUCGGGGCUCCUUGGUGAUUCAUAAUAACUUCACGAAUCGCAUGGCCUUGCGCCGGCGAUGGUUCAUUCAAAUUUCUGCCCUAUCAACUUUCGAUGGUAGGAUAGUGGCCUACCAUGGUGGCAACGGGUAACGGGGAAUUAGGGUUCGAUUCCGGAGAGGGAGCCUGAGAAACGGCUACCACAUCCAAGGAAGGCAGCAGGCGCGCAAAUUACCCAAUCCCGAUACGGGGAGGUAGUGACAAUAAAUACUGAUACAGGGCUCUUUUGGGUCUUGUAAUUGGAAUGAGAACAAUCUAAACACCUUAACGAGGAACAAUUGGAGGGCAAGUCUGGUGCCAGCAGCCGCGGUAAUUCCAGCUCCAAUAGCGUAUAUUAAAGUUGUUGCAGUUAAAAAGCUCGUAGUUGAACCUUGGGCCCGUCCUGCCGGUCCGCCUCACCGCGAGUACUGGUCCGGAUGGGCCUUUCUUUCUGGGGAAUCCCAUGGCCUUCACUGGCUGUGGUGGGGAACAGGACUUUUACUGCGAAAAAAUUAGAGUGUUCAAAGCAGGCCUUUGCUCGGAUACAUUAGCAUGGAAUAAUAGAAUAGGACGUGCGGUUCUAUUUUGUUGGUUUCUAGGACCGCCGUAAUGAUUAAUAGGGAUAGUCGGAGGCGUCAGUAUUCAGCUGUCAGAGGUGAAAUUCUUGGAUUUGCUGAAGACUAACUACUGCGAAACAUUCGCCAAGGAUGUUUUCAUUAAUCAGGGAACGAAAGUUAGGGGAUCGAAGACGAUCAGAUACCGUCGUAGUCUUAACCAUAAACUAUGCCGACUAGGGAUCGGGCGAUGUUACUAUGAUGACCCGAUCGGCACUUACGAGAAACCAAGUUUUGGGGUUUCGUGGGGGAGUAGGUCGCAAGUUGAAACUAAAGAAUUUGACGGAAGGGCACCACCAGGAUUGGGACCGCGGUUAUUUUGUUUCAACACGGGGAAAUACACCAGUCCCAGACUGAGGAAGGAUUGACAGAUUGUGAGUUUUUCUUCGAUUUUUGGGUCGUUGUCGCUUGGCCUUUCUCAGUUGUUGGAGUGAUUGUCUGUUUAAUCCCGUUAACGAACGAGACUUUAACUGUAAAUUAGCCCCAUCGAUAUGGUUGGUGGCUGGCUCCUCAGAGGGACUAAUUGCAACCACCCAAGGAAGUUUGAGGCAAUAACAGGUCUGUGAUGCCC
This 1347-nucleotide ribosomal RNA is filed under the name uncultured eukaryote. RNAcentral's name for it is "SSU rRNA". It matches the Rfam family "Eukaryotic small subunit ribosomal RNA", at positions 83 to 1472 of the family's 1831-position model. The record is from RNAcentral.